This 64-nucleotide microRNA precursor is filed under the name Microcaecilia unicolor. RNAcentral's name for it is "Mun-Mir-30-P1d_pre stem-loop". It matches the Rfam family "mir-30 microRNA precursor family", at positions 9 to 69 of the family's 77-position model. Rfam says of the family: This family consists of the mammalian microRNA (miRNA) precursor mir-30a. Animal miRNAs are transcribed as ~70nt precursors and subsequently processed by the Dicer enzyme to give a ~22nt product. The record is from RNAcentral. Lineage: Eukaryota; Metazoa; Chordata; Amphibia; Gymnophiona; Siphonopidae.
UGUAAACAUCCUUGACUGGAAGCUGUAAAGUUCUGUAAAGAGCUUUUAGUCAGAUGUUUACAGC